Molecule: transfer RNA, 74 nt
Filed under: Microcaldota archaeon
Lineage: Archaea; Nanobdellati; Microcaldota
Description: tRNA-Thr
Rfam family: tRNA
About the family: Transfer RNA (tRNA) molecules are approximately 80 nucleotides in length. Their secondary structure includes four short double-helical elements and three loops (D, anti-codon, and T loops).
Source: RNAcentral
GCCCCGAUAACUCAGCCUGGUAGAGUGCUUGUUUCGUAAACAAGAAGUCGAGGGUUCAAAUCCCUUUCGGGGCU